This 88-nucleotide transfer RNA is filed under the name Candidatus Omnitrophota bacterium. Its description in RNAcentral is "tRNA-Leu". It matches the Rfam family "tRNA". Rfam says of the family: Transfer RNA (tRNA) molecules are approximately 80 nucleotides in length. Their secondary structure includes four short double-helical elements and three loops (D, anti-codon, and T loops). Lineage: Bacteria; Pseudomonadati; Candidatus Omnitrophota. The record is from RNAcentral.
GCGAGGAUGGCGGAAUUGGCAGACGCGACAGUUUGAGGGGCUGUUGGCUGCAUAAGCUGUGAGGGUUCAACUCCCUCUCCUCGCACCA